RNAcentral lists this ribosomal RNA (1577 nucleotides) under Arctonyx collaris. RNAcentral describes it as "16S ribosomal RNA". It matches the Rfam family "Bacterial large subunit ribosomal RNA". The record is from RNAcentral. Lineage: Eukaryota; Metazoa; Chordata; Mammalia; Carnivora; Mustelidae.
AACUAAAGCUAGCCCAACCAACUACAAACUCAAUUACCACAAUAAUCCCUCAAUUAAAACAUUUAAUACCACAAGUAUAGUAUAGGAGAUAGAAAUACUACUUGGAGCUAUAGAGAAAGUACCGCAAGGGAAUGAUGAAAGAAAUUUUAAAGUAAUAAAUAGCAAAGAUUACCACUUGUACCUUUUGCAUAAUGAAUUAGCUAGAAUAAUUUAGCAAAGAGAUCUUAAGCUAACCUCCCCGAAACCAGACGAGCUACCUAUGAACAAUCCACAGGGAUAAACUCAUCUAUGUUGCAAAAUAGUGAGAAGAUUCACAGGUAGAGGUGAAAAGCCUAACGAGCCUGGUGAUAGCUGGUUACCCAGAACAGAAUCUCAGUUCAACUUUAAAUUUGCCUAACAACUUCAAAAUUAUAAUGUAAAUUUAAAAUAUAAUCUAAAAAGGUACAGCUUUUUAGAACAAGGCUACAACCUUACUUAGAGAGUAAAAUGUAAUAUAACCAUAGUAGGCCUAAAAGCAGCCACCAAUUAAGAAAGCGUUCAAGCUCAACAAUAUACCCUUCUAAAUCCCAAAAAUCUUAAUCAACUCCUAAUAUAACACUGGGUUAAUCUAUUAAAUAAUAGAAGCAAUAAUGCUAAUAUGAGUAACAAGAAGUAUUUCUCCUUGCAUAAGCUUAUAACAGUCAACGAAUACCCACUGAUAGUUAACAAUAUGAUAAGAAUAAACCACCAAUAAAACACUUAUCAAAUCAAUUGUUAGCCCAACACAGGUAUGCAUCAAGGAAAGAUCAAAAGAAGUAAAAGGAACUCGGCAAACACAAACCCCGCCUGUUUACCAAAAACAUCACCUCCAGCAUACCCAGUAUUGGAGGCACUGCCUGCCCAGUGACAUCAGUUAAACGGCCGCGGUAUCCUGACCGUGCAAAGGUAGCAUAAUCAUUUGUUCUUUAAAUAAGGACUUGUAUGAAUGGCUUCACGAGGGUUUAACUGUCUCUUACUUCCAAUCAGUGAAAUUGACCUUCCCGUGAAGAGGCGGGAAUAAAAUAAUAAGACGAGAAGACCCUAUGGAGCUUUAAUUAACUGACCCAUAAUAAAUUUACUUAAAUACCAAUAGGUUUAACAUAACUUUACUAAUGGGUCAACAAUUUAGGUUGGGGUGACCUCGGAGAACAAAUAAACCUCCGAGUGAUUUAAGCACAGACAAACCAGUCAAAGCGCUCUAUCAUUAAUUGAUCCAAUAGCUUGAUCAACGGAACAAGUUACCCUAGGGAUAACAGCGCAAUCCUAUUUGAGAGUUCAUAUCAACAAUAGGGUUUACGACCUCGAUGUUGGAUCAGGACAUCCUAAUGGUGCAGCAGCUAUUAAAGGUUCGUUUGUUCAACGAUUAAAGUCCUACGUGAUCUGAGUUCAGACCGGAGUAAUCCAGGUCGGUUUCUAUCUAUUAUAACAUAACAACUUCUCCCAGUACGAAAGGACAAGAGAAGUAAGGCCCAUUUUAUUAAAACGCCUUAGGACUAAUAGAUGAUAAUAUCUAAAUCUAGCUAGUCCAUUUUGCUUAGUUAGCCCUAGAGAUAGGGCUU